AACAUCGCGCACCUGCGGGAACCUGCGGAAGGAUCAUUACAGAGCUGCAAAACUCCCUAAACCAUUGUGAACGUUACCUAAACCGUUGCUUCGGCGGGCGGCCCGGGUCCUUCCCGGCGCCCCUCGGCCCUCGCGGGCGCCCGCCGGAGGUAAACCAAACUAUUGCAUUGUAUGGCCUCUCUGAGUCUUCUGUACUGAAUAAGUCAAAACUUUUAACAACGGAUCUCAGAUCGGAAGAGC
RNAcentral lists this unclassified non-coding RNA (240 nucleotides) under soil metagenome. Its description in RNAcentral is "partial contains 5.8S ribosomal RNA, internal transcribed spacer 2, and large subunit ribosomal RNA". The record is from RNAcentral.